Molecule: non-coding RNA, 167 nt
Organism: Pelobates cultripes (western spadefoot toad)
Lineage: Eukaryota; Metazoa; Chordata; Amphibia; Anura; Pelobatidae
Source: the annotation of a GenBank genome assembly
GGUCAGCUGACACAUCCCUGCCAAUCUCCGGCAGACCCUCCCUCCCAGACCCUCCCACCUCCUGGACAGCAUUCAUGUUGAAGCUGCCUUCAACAUGGAUGCUGUCCAGGAAGUAGGAGGGUCUGGGAGGGAGGGUCUGCCGGACAUUGGCAGGGAUGUGUCAGCUG